Molecule: ribosomal RNA, 137 nt
Filed under: uncultured eukaryote
Lineage: Eukaryota
Description: partial 18S ribosomal RNA
Rfam family: Eukaryotic small subunit ribosomal RNA
Source: RNAcentral
UCGUAGGAUGACCCGGCAGCUUAAUUGCGAUAACGAACGAGACCUUAACCUGCUAAAUAGCCCGUAUUGCUUUGGCAGUACGCUGGCUUCUUAGAGGGACUAUCGGCUCAAGCCGAUGGAAGUUUGAGGCAAUAACA